GCCAGACUCCUACGGGAGGCAGCAGUGAGGGAUAUUGGGCAAUGGGGGAAACCCUGACCCAGCGACGCCGCGUGAGGGAAGACGGUCUUCGGAUUGUAAACCUCUGUCUUUGGGGACGAAAAAGGACGGUACCCAAGGAGGAAGCUCCGGCUAACUACGUGCCAGCAGCCGCGGUAAUACGGAGGAUCCGAGCGUUAUCCGGAUUCAUUGGGUUUAAAGGGUGCGUAGGUUGUUUUAUAAGUUAGCGGUGAAAUACCGAUGCUCAACAUCGGGGCUGCCGCUAAUACUGUAGGACUAGAGAUCGGAUGCAGCAGGCGGAAUGUGUAGUGUAGCGGUGAAAUGCAUAGAUAUUACACAGAACACCGAUUGCGAAGGCAGCUUGCUAGGCCGGAUCUGACACUGAUGCACGAAAGCGUGGGGAUCGAACAGGAUUAGAUACCCCGGUA
Molecule: ribosomal RNA, 446 nt
Filed under: uncultured bacterium
Lineage: Bacteria
Description: bacterial SSU rRNA
Rfam family: Bacterial small subunit ribosomal RNA
Source: RNAcentral